AGUCCUCAAAUGGAGGGAAGCAAAUACGCAGGGGCCGCAGCCGCCUCCCUGCCGGGCGUGUGUCCGCGGCCCGGAGGGGCGGGCAGGAGGGCGAAUCCACACGCCACCCACUCCCCCGGCGACAGCGCGGAGUGCGAGGCAGGCGGCCGGGACGUGGGGCGCGCCGCCGGCCAGCGGCAGCCGGGCGUCGGGAGAGGGGCGCCUGGUCGAGGAGACGGGCGGCUGCCGGCUACGGGCUAAGGGGACAGUCUGGUCCCGGCGGCGGAAGAGGUCCGGACUAAGGGACGUGGGGAAGGAGACGAGCCCGCACCGCGCGUCACUAGCGAGAAGCCGCCGCCGCCGCCGCCACCAACACCGCCGCCGCCAUCUUCACUUCUGCCCCAGUUUCUCCGUCUGGCAGGCUCCGCUCCCGAGCGGCGGGGGAGGGGCGAACGGGAGGAGGAGGAGGAGGAGACCGGCGGGCGGGGGCGCGGCGGCGAGAGGCGGGGCUCCGGGAAACGGGCGGUAAGGCCCCCUGGAUUGGGCGGCUCAACGUCGUCGGGCCACGACGCUGUAAAGCGCGUGCCGAUUGGUCCGUUCGGCUCCCGAGCCCAGCCCCGCCGGGGGUGGGAUGGCUCCAGAGUGUUCCGGAGAGCACGUGUUAGGGAAGGAGGAGGCGGCGGGCGAGCCCGCCGGGAGGGCGAAUGCUGCUGCCUGUUUCCUAUUAGUGACAAACCACCUCCUUAUCACAUCCUGGUUCAAAGAAGAAUACUGCCCCUUCCACUUGCAAAGAUGAACAGUUCAAAGUUCCAGCUGGUUACUCCAUUCAGCUCAAAAAGUGAGCCCUGCA
Non-coding RNA from Saimiri boliviensis boliviensis (Bolivian squirrel monkey), 829 nucleotides. The record is from RefSeq and is a predicted model, not a curated record. Lineage: Eukaryota; Metazoa; Chordata; Mammalia; Primates; Cebidae.